RNAcentral lists this small nuclear RNA (103 nucleotides) under Notamacropus eugenii (tammar wallaby). Lineage: Eukaryota; Metazoa; Chordata; Mammalia; Diprotodontia; Macropodidae. The record is from RNAcentral.
GUGUUGCCUUUGGCAGCAUUUAUACUAAAACUGGAAUGAUGUGGAGAAGAUGAGCAUGACCCUGUGUGAACAUGACAUGAAAAAUUUGUGGUUACAUGUUUUA